This 243-nucleotide ribosomal RNA is filed under the name uncultured bacterium. RNAcentral describes it as "partial 16S ribosomal RNA". It matches the Rfam family "Bacterial small subunit ribosomal RNA", at positions 30 to 273 of the family's 1533-position model. The record is from RNAcentral.
AUUGAACGCUGGCGGCGUGCCUAACACAUGCAAGUCGAGCGGUAACAGGUGUAGCAAUACAUGCUGACGAGCGGCGGACGGGUGAGUAACGCUUGGGAAUCUGCCUAUUAGUGGUGGACAACCCGGGGAAACUCGGGCUAAUACCGCAUACGCACUACGGUGGAAAGCCGGGACCGCAAGGCCUGGCGCUAACAGAUGAGCCCAAGUCGGAUUAGCUAGUUGGUAGGGAACGGCCUACCAAGG